Molecule: long non-coding RNA, 1669 nt
Filed under: Marmota monax (woodchuck)
Lineage: Eukaryota; Metazoa; Chordata; Mammalia; Rodentia; Sciuridae
Source: RNAcentral
UAUCUAGUUUUGUUAAACCCUCCUCCUAUGGGGCAAUUCCUUUUAAAAUGUCCUGUUUGUUCACAAUUGUAGCAUGUUUUUGGCCUGGCAUCUAAAGCCUGUUGUACUGCAGCUGCCAAGACUUGCCCUUGUUCAUUAAUGUCUCUGCAUAAUUUAAUAUAUGUGUUUAAAUUUCCAUGUUUCCACGGUCUAAUGGCCUCCCUGCACCAUCUGUUUGCUUGUUCAUAGGCUAGUUGUUUUAUUAAUAGCAUCACUUGUUCUGUGUCCCUGAAAACUCUGGUAGCUGUUUGAAUAAGCCUAUCUACAAAUUCAGCGUAAGGUUCAUUAGCUCCUUGUAUUAUUUUAGAUAAUUGACCUUGUAAAUCUUCAUGUCCUUGUAAAGUCUUCCAUGCCCUAACUGCAUCUGCAGCAAUUUGUGAAUAUAUAGCAGGAUCAUAUUCAAUUUGUUGCCGCUGACCCUCAUAAGGUCCUUUUCCUAACAACAUCUCUAGAUUUCCCUGAGGGUAACCGGCUGCUGCAUUUCGCCUAGCCGUCUCUGUGCAAAAUUCCUGAUUGGCAACCUUCCAUAACAAAUAUUGCCCUCCACUUAGCACAGCUUUACACAUGCUAGCCCAAUCUGCUGGCGUCAUGUCCAAGUUGGUAAUAGAUUCGACCAUAUUUACAGUGAAGGGUGCUUGAGGGCCAUAGGUUGUUAUAACCUCUUUUAGUUGCUUCACUGUUUUGAAAUCUAAAGCACAGUGAAUUCACUGCCCUCCUCUCAAAUAUAGGGCAUGCUAAUCUUUGAGGUCCUGUCUCAGGAUCCCAUCUAUCAACUACAGGGGUUGAGGGCCACUCAACAUGUGUUGUCUGUAUAGGUGGAGCUGUUGGUUGGACACUUACGCCCUCUGGUGAUAAAAUGGUGUUAGUAGCAGCCUCCUGUUGUAAUUUUUUUCCCUAAUAGCUGUUUCUCCUCUGAGCUUUCUUCCUUUAGAUUUUCUUCCUCUGUCUGACUAGCUCGAGAGACCUUCUCUUUUGCUUGAUCUAUCAUGUUUUCUAUCAUAGUCUGAACCUCUGACAAUUCACUUAACACUCUUUCAGUUUGGUUUUUACUAAUUUCUGGUCCCAUCUUUCUACUAAAAAGAUAACACAUAACAAAACCGAAACAGAAUGAAACCAAAAUGGAACAAAAAUGCAUUGUAUCAAUUUUCCUAUUUUCUUGAAAUGUAUGUUCGUGGUCUAUUUCUCUCUCUAUCUUAGGGGCGAACCUUGAGCCAACCAUUUUCCCCAGUUUGCCUGAGAAAGUUCUAGGGACAGGCAACUUGAAAUAAAAACAAAAUAAAUCAAAACAAGAACACAUUGUUUUUUGAAGUGGUCACCCAUUCUCUCACUCUUCCUCAGGGGCGAGCAAUUUCACUUACCUCCAAGCUUCAGGAGUUCCCUGCAUGGGCCACCAAAUGCUGCAGUCUGGCUGGGCACAAAUAACCGAGCCACCACAAAUCCUUGUAGAUUCAAACAACAACUCUUUAUUCCCCAACUCUCACCAGCACUGCACACAUCACACGGGAACACACUAUCUCCACUGGGCUCCAUCCAAUCUCUCUGAACCCCUGUGAGAACUGCACAGGAACUCCAAAGUAGCAGGCGCCUGAGGCAGCAAGAGCUGCCCUAUUGCCUGACAGUAAGGUCAAAU